GACGAACGCUGGCGGCGUGCUUAACACAUGCAAGUCGAACGGAAAGGCCCUGCUUUUGUGGGGUGCUCGAGUGGCGAACGGGUGAGUAACACGUGAGUAACCUGCCCUUGACUUUGGGAUAACUUCAGGAAACUGGGGCUAAUACCGGAUAGGAGCUCCUGCUGCAUGGUGGGGGUUGGAAAGUUUCGGCGGUUGGGGAUGGACUCGCGGCUUAUCAGCUUGUUGGUGGGGUAGUGGCUUACCAAGGCUUUGACGGGUAGCCGGCCUGAGAGGGUGACCGGCCACAUUGGGACUGAGAUACGGCCCAGACUCCUACGGGAGGCAGCAGCGGGGAAUAUUGCACAAUGGGCGGAAGCCUGAUGCAGCAACGCCGCGUGCGGGAUGACGGCCUUCGGGUUGUAAACCGCUUUCGCCUGUGACGAAGCGUGAGUGACGGUAAUGGGUAAAGAAGCACCGGCUAACUACGUGCCAGCAGCCACGGUGAUACGUAGGGUGCGAGCGUUGUCCGGAUUUAUUGGGCGUAAAGGGCUCGUAGGUGGUUGAUCGCGUCGGAAGUGUAAUCUUGGGGCUUAACCCUGAGCGUGCUUUCGAUACGGGUUGACUUGAGGAAGGUAGGGGAGAAUGGAAUUCCUGGUGGAGCGGUGGAAUGCGCAGAUAUCAGGAGGAACACCAGUGGCGAAGGCGGUUCUCUGGGCCUUUCCUGACGCUGAGGAGCGAAAGCGUGGGGAGCGAACAGGCUUAGAUACCCUGGUAGCCCACGCUGUAAACGGUGGGUACUAGGUGUGGGGUCCAUUCCACGGGUUCCGUGCCGUAGCUAACGCUUUAAGUACCCCGCCUGGGGAGUACGGCCGCAAGGCUAAAACUCAAAGGAAUUGACGGGGCCCCGCACAAGCGGCGGAGCAUGCGGAUUAAUUCGAUGCAACGCGUAGAACCUUACCUGGGUUUGACAUGGAUCGGGAGCGCUCAGAGAUGGGUGUGCCUCUUUUGGGGUCGGUUCACAGGUGGUGCAUGGCUGUCGUCAGCUCGUGUCGUGAGAUGUUGGGUUAAGUCCCGCAACGAGCGCAACCCUUGUUCACUGUUGCCAGCACGUUAUGGUGGGGACUCAGUGGAGACCGCCGGGGUCAACUCGGAGGAAGGUGGGGAUGACGUCAAGUCAUCAUGCCCCUUAUGUCCAGGGCUUCACGCAUGCUACAAUGGCUGGUACAGAGAGUGGCGAGCCUGUGAGGGUGAGCGAAUCUCGGAAAGCCGGUCUCAGUUCGGAUUGGGGUCUGCAACUCGACCUCAUGAAGUCGGAGUCGCUAGUAAUCGCAGAUCAGCAACGCUGCGGUGAAUACGUUCCCGGGGCU
Molecule: ribosomal RNA, 1346 nt
Filed under: uncultured bacterium
Lineage: Bacteria
Description: bacterial SSU rRNA
Rfam family: Bacterial small subunit ribosomal RNA
Source: RNAcentral